Molecule: ribosomal RNA, 471 nt
Filed under: uncultured bacterium
Lineage: Bacteria
Description: bacterial SSU rRNA
Rfam family: Bacterial small subunit ribosomal RNA
Source: RNAcentral
CUCUGUGACUCCUACGGGAGGCAGCAGUGGGGAAUAUUGCACAAUGGGCGCAAGCCUGAUGCAGCCAUGCCGCGUGUAUGAAGAAGGCCUUCGGGUGUAAAGUACUUUCAGCAGUGAGGAAGGCAGGUACGUUAAUAGCGUGCUUGUUUGACGUUAGCUGCAGAAGAAGCACCGGCUAACUCCGUGCCAGCAGCCGCGGUAAUACGGAGGGUGCGAGCGUUAAUCGGAAUUACUGGGCGUAAAGCGCAUGCAGGUGGUUUGUUAAGUCAGAUGUGAAAGCCCGGGGCUCAACCUCGGAAUUGCAUUUGAAACUGGCAGACUAGAGUACUGUAGAGGGGGUAGAAUUUCAGGUGUAGCGGUGAAAUGCGUAGAGAUCUGAAGGAAUACCGGUGGCGAAGGCGGCCCCCUGGACAGAUACUGACACUCAGAUGCGAAAGCGUGGGGAGCAAACAGGAUUAGAUACCCUGGGAG